RNAcentral lists this transfer RNA (84 nucleotides) under Moniliophthora perniciosa FA553. It matches the Rfam family "tRNA". Rfam says of the family: Transfer RNA (tRNA) molecules are approximately 80 nucleotides in length. Their secondary structure includes four short double-helical elements and three loops (D, anti-codon, and T loops). Lineage: Eukaryota; Fungi; Basidiomycota; Agaricomycetes; Agaricales; Marasmiaceae. The record is from Rfam by way of RNAcentral.
GCACUGAUGGCUAAAUGGAAGAUCACACUGUAGCUGUUGUCUUAGUAAAAGUUACGGUUCCAGGUUCAAAUCCUGGUCAGUGCA